AUGCUACGUUUCUAUCUGUUUCCUCAAGCUAGCUACUCACUUCUCAGCCGAGGCACAAUGCAGGGAGACGGAGCUCCUUCAUCUUUUAUUCUGAUUGAUCCGGGUUCAUCUUACCCAGUAACACUAAAGCGAUCUGGAGAGGAAACCAGAGUUUUGUCCAGCCUCCGUUACUAUUUCUGUAACGACGGAUGCCAGGCGAGGCCGAUGCGCGUCCCUCUCCAGGUGGGGCGGUGCAAUGCCGGACAGGCUCUCGGCUCAUCUUUUGCUGUCUUAAAAUCUGCGGCUGCUUCAGCGUCCCUUGGUGCGCGGUGUCCUUAUGCCCUUAGUGCCGGUCCCCACCAGCCCGGGGCUGCUCCAGUUCCGCUGCCAGCGUCCCAGGAGGGAGGAUGAAAAUAUCGGUGGAUGCCCAGGGGACGACGAGUUGCCGGUGAGUGACAGACCUGUGACGUUCUGUAUAACAUCUGCAAUUUCAUCUGCUUCUUUUCUUAAACCGUUAUUGAACACGCUCAUGCAAAAUCCUGCACUGUUUCCCAGUUAACCCGUUAUGAUUUCUCCUCCAUCGUUCCCAGCAACAUUUCCCCGUGAGCUCUGUGUACCUUAAUACUAGCUGAGCUUGCAGGGGCUGCAGGCACCCACUGCUGCCCAGCGCCUGGCUGGGGCUCGCUUCAGCUGUGCCAGCUGCAUCCCAGGGAGCCCUAUUAGCUUCAGGGUGUGCUCUUUGGAUCUUAAAAGGCUGAAGUGAAAACUGGUGGCUUGUGGGAAGCAUGAUGCCGUUGAGGUAGAAAUGCUUGGAAAGAUGCUCACGAUCUGGCCUGGACCAGGAGCGAGACCAGAGGCUCAAACCCAGAUUUUGAUGGGAAUGGGGCUGGGACCUGCUGAGUGCUGUGCCACGUGUCCUGCAGACCAGCUUUCCCAUGAAAUAAUUGGUUUCAGAAAGACCCAGUUUUGUGCCCGUCCUGCUGUCGGCUGUCUGAGCCUACCCCUAGUGUCCCAAGUCCUGGUCUGAGUGCCCGGGGUGCCACCGGCCCCGAGGAGCUCUCCAAGUUGGUGGCGUGGAAGCCUUCAAACACCUGCUCAGCACAGCGGGCUGGCAGUCUGCUUUCUGUGUACAGCUACAGGAUGGUGCAAGAUCCUGCUGCUGGGAUGUGGUGGCGCUUGGUGGCUGCUCAGCCCCCCAGGAAGCCCCAGGGCUCGCAGGAGCAAGGUGGGCUUGGGAUGAGACCCAGGGGGACCCGGGCUCCUGUACAGCAGCAGCUCCUGCUGCACUCUGCCAUGAGCUGUUUGAGAUGAACCCCCUCAGUGUCAUAGGGCUUGGGGAAAGCUCCACUUUCCUGGAAGUUGGGAAAAAAAAAAAAAAAGAAAUGCUUAGUUCUGUGUCCUAACUCUGAUUUUUAGCUGCCAUGAAGUACUUGUGCCCGUUGCAGUGGUGCUUUCCCUGGUGCCCUCCCAGCCUUGGCGCUUCGUGCCUCCCACCAGCCAAAAUCUGGGUGCUGCAGGGAAAAGAUGGGAAGAGGUUUACUGAGCUUUGAAUGGCAGAAUCAAAGGAAUUAAUUACUCUUUAUAAAUAAACAGAAAAUAUUUAUGAUGGCUUGCA
This 1594-nucleotide long non-coding RNA is filed under the name Anser cygnoides (Swan goose). Its description in RNAcentral is "lncRNA (ENSACDG00005015630.1)". The record is from RNAcentral. Lineage: Eukaryota; Metazoa; Chordata; Aves; Anseriformes; Anatidae.